UGAAGAACAGAAGACACAGAUCAGUUCAAGUGUGUUUGUGUUUACUGUCUGUUCUUCUGUUCACUGCUGUAAUAGUCAUCUGUGUCUAUUUCAACAAUGACAGAAACCAACUACUAACACAUAAUUAUAUCUUGACUGAAGAACGUGACCUGUUCAAAAACAAACUCAACGAUGCCUUAACAGAUUUGUGGUCCAGUAACUUUACAUGGAUUUACUACAACUUGAGUUUGUAUUACAUUUCAUCUGAUUAUAAGAGCUGGAGUGACAGCAGACGAGACUGUGAAGAGAGAGGAGCAGAUCUGCUGAUAAUAAACAACAAAGAGGAAGAAUUGUUUUUGCGUAAACGUACUGGUUUUAACAUAUGGAUUGGUCUGAGAAAAGAACAUGGAUUGUGGAAAUGGGUUGAUGGCACCACACUGACAUCUGACUACUGGAUAGAUGGACAUUCCCUAAAUUCUGAUUGUGCAGUCAUGACUGCAUUUGAGUGGAGUAUUGAUCUGUGUUAUAACGCAACUUAUAGAUGGAUAUGUGAAAGAAGAAUUGUUUAAAUCUCUCAUGAUAUGAUGAUGUUUAUUUAAAUAAAUGAUGUAGUCAUGUUUUUUUUUCAAUAUGGUAAUAAAUACAUUCUCUAAGGGUUGGUUUCCUUAACAGGGUUUAGAUUAGGCCUUAGUUCUAUUAGGACAUUCAAGUAGUUUUUACCAACAUACCUUACAAAAAACAACACUGAUGUGCAUCUUGAGACAAAACAACAGCACUCAUAUAUGGUAAGAUAUGUCCCUGCAAGCUGUUUUCAGUUCUAAGACAGCUCAACCAUGCAUUUAAAGCUUCCAUAACACAAGCUGUUUCUGCAUAUCUCUUGUUAAUCUUGAGUAUCUAUAGAGUAGUAUUACAUCCUUCAUAUCUCCAAAGAGUCUUUAGUUUGAUCAGAUUUGUAAAGGGCAGAUUAGCUGUAGCGAAUGUUUCCAGAAAAGCACAACCCCUAGGGGCGUGCCGUGGGAGGAGCUAUUCACGAGCAAGAAAAACUGGAAAACUUAUGAUUCACAACAUGUUGUGUCAUUUACAUUAUAUGCACUUACGCGCAAAUGUCCAACUUAACACAGAAGUCUACCGCCUGCAACUCAUGACCCAGUUGCGACUUUUCAACUAAAUCCAGCGUUAAACAAACACACAUCCAAAACUCCGCUGCUUCCCCAGAUAAACAAAAUAUAUCCAUUGUUUCCAUAUUGCUGGCUUCUCCUUACAUCCAAAAACACACUUCUUCUUUUGUGCCAUUGUUGAGUCUUGGUAUAAAACACAGCUGUCGGGUUCUCAGUUCUCGUUUGGGUGUGCUUUUCUGGGGGAAAUGCCCAUACAAGAAAUGAUACAUAAGGUGGACCCAUUAUCCGUAAGUUGUACCCAUGUUCGAAAAAUACUUUAUGAAACUUGUAUGAAUCCUGGCGAAUUGCAUUUGGCACGGAAACACUCUGUCACAUGUUCAACUGCUUUUUUGAAACUUCCCUUAUGUUUAGCAUGAGGAAACCAACUCUUAAAAUGCGUUAAUAAGUGAGAAUGCAUGAAAUACCUUAACCACACCCAAGUCUGGGACUAGGCUUAAAACCUUUCUGGGAAUCUGCCCCUAAGGGGGGGUUUCCCAGACAGAGAUUUUCUUAAACGAGGACUAGGCCUUAGUUUAAAUAGGAAAUAUAACUUGUUUGAACAAACAUGGCUUACUAAAAACAUUACUUGUGUGCAUUUUGGGGCAAAACAAAGGGCACUGAUGUAUUUUAAGAUAUGUCAGUGCAGGUUGUUAUCAGUUUGGACAGCUCUUACAUUUAUUUUAGUCAAGGACUAGUCUAAUCCCUGUCCGGGAAACCGCCCCUAAGAGUUUAUAUUUUAAGUUUUGACCAGAAAUGUCAGAUCCAUAACAUUGGAUUUGUCCAUCUAUAGUUUUAGGCCAGUAUAUGUUUAAUGUGAUUAUAAACUGUAGCUUAACAAACACACUAUAAAUCAAGUUGGGUAAAAAAUAGCUUUUGCAUUUACUAGUAUGUGUGUGGUGAGUUGCCAACUCUGAGCUCAUUGUGGUUUUAUUUGUUGCAUGCCAGUGGAUGUAAACUAAAAUAAACUGUGAAAUUGGCAAGUGGAAAAUAUAUCAAAAUAUUUUUAGAUUCAUGCAGACUGUAUAAUAUAUACUUUUUUUAAAUCUGUAUUUGUGAAAUAAGUUUUUGUCAAAUGUUGUUAUGAUUAAAGUUUGUGUCAGAUGAUCUCUAUCAGCUUUGGGAUCAGGGCUUGUGCAAAUUUAAGUUGAUUAUAAUCUUUAUUAUUUUUUACUGAAUAAAAAUACAAAUGCUUAACAUGAGAGUUCUCUUUUAUAGAUUUAUAGCAGCCUGUUUCUCUAGUAAUACAACAUUAGACUCUGAUUAUAACCAAUACUACAUUCCUACAUUUCCGUGGCUUUCUUUCUGAUAGGUUUUGAUACACUGCCCAUCAAAACAAUACCAAAUCGAUAAAUAAAUAUGUGAUUAUGUUAGGUGAUCAUAGU
Non-coding RNA from Paramisgurnus dabryanus, 2518 nucleotides. NCBI's taxonomy places the organism in Eukaryota, Metazoa, Chordata, Actinopteri, Cypriniformes, Cobitidae. The record is from RefSeq and is a predicted model, not a curated record.